GAUGAACGCUGGCGGCGUGCCUAAUACAUGCCAGUCGAGCGAACAGACGAGGAGCUUGCUCCUCUGACGUUAGCGGCGGACGGGUGAGUAACACGUGGAUAACCUACCUAUAAGACUGGGAUAACUUCGGGAAACCGGAGCUAAUACCGGAUAAUAUAUUGAACCGCAUGGUUCAAUAGUGAAAGACGGUUUUGCUGUCACUUAUAGAUGGAUCCGCGCCGCAUUAGCUAGUUGGUAAGGUAACGGCUUACCAAGGCAACGAUGCGUAGCCGACCUGAGAGGGUGAUCGGCCACACUGGAACUGAGACACGGUCCAGACUCCUACGGGAGGCAGCAGUAGGGAAUCUUCCGCAAUGGGCGAAAGCCUGACGGAGCAACGCCGCGUGAGUGACGAAGGUCUUCGGAUCGUAAAACUCUGUUAUUAGGGAAGAACAAAUGUGUAAGUAACUAUGCACGUCUUGACGGUACCUAAUCAGAAAGCCACGGCUAACUACGUG
This 497-nucleotide ribosomal RNA is filed under the name uncultured bacterium. Its description in RNAcentral is "partial 16S ribosomal RNA". It matches the Rfam family "Bacterial small subunit ribosomal RNA", at positions 28 to 507 of the family's 1533-position model. The record is from RNAcentral.